CACUUUGCAACCACUGAGGCAGAUAAUAAGGUUAAAUUCUCUUUACUUGUAAGAAUAAAUAUCAUUAUUUCCAGAUCAGCACUAUGUAAGGGAGGUUUUCUAAAAGGCAGGUGAAACAGCUACCAUCCACAAAGUGAUGCACAUUCUCAGGAUAACAUGGUAUUGGCAGGAUCAUGUUGCUGAGAUACACAGAAAGAGCAGCAGG
Cyprinodon tularosa is the source of this 205-nucleotide long non-coding RNA. RefSeq lists it as uncharacterized. The record is from RefSeq and is a predicted model, not a curated record. Lineage: Eukaryota; Metazoa; Chordata; Actinopteri; Cyprinodontiformes; Cyprinodontidae. The transcript is spliced from 3 exons.